RNAcentral lists this ribosomal RNA (497 nucleotides) under uncultured bacterium. RNAcentral's name for it is "partial 16S ribosomal RNA". It matches the Rfam family "Bacterial small subunit ribosomal RNA", at positions 899 to 1397 of the family's 1533-position model. The record is from RNAcentral.
ACUCAAAUGAAUUGACGGGGGCCCGCACAAGCAGUGGAGCAUGUGGUUUAAUUCGAUGCUACGCGAAAAACCUUACCAGGGUUUGACAUCCCAGUGUAAGCCCCUAGAAAUAGGGGCCCCCUUCGGGCACUGGUGACAGGUGGUGCAUGGUUGUCGUCAGCUCGUGCCGUGAGGUGUUGGAUUAAGUUCCGCAACGAGCGCAACCCUCGUUGCUAGUUGCCAGCAUUCAGUUGGGCACUCUAGCGAGACUGCCGGCGUCAAGCCGGAGGAAGGUGGGGAUGACGUCAAAUCAUCAUGCCCCUUACACUCUGGGCUACACACGUGCUACAAUGGGCAGUACAACGGGUUGCCACACCGCGAGGUGGAGCGAAUCCUUCAAAGCUGCUCUCAGUUCGGAUUGCAGGCUGCAACUCGCCUGCAUGAAGCUGGAAUUGCUAGUAACCGUGGAUCAGCAUGCCGCGGUGAAUACGUACUCGGGCCUUGUACACACCGCCCGU